GUAAACGGCCCUUUGGAUAAAAAAAAAUUUAUUCAAGAAAACCCAUUAAAAUUCUAUAGGAAAUGUGUGUGAUAUCUAAUCCCAUAUGUUCCUCCUCCUUCCUUGUUUAGCAGCAUGGAGACUCCGGACUACUUUAGCCAAGAACAACAGGUUCCUUGUCAGACUACGAAUUCAAUUUUUCCAGAAAAAUAUACUUGUAAAAGUGAAGUGAAGUUCAAACUUAAAGGCACAAUACUGGAGGUUGUACUGAGAUUGAAAGUACUGUCUGAACUGUGGGUCCUCUUAGUCUAUAGGGAAGGAUUGGGGAGUAAGUUAAUAGAAGAUCUCCUGGUAUUAGACAAGUUUAAAACAGACCUCAGAAUUCCUUCAAAGAAGCCAGAAGGUGGUCCAGAGUAUUGUUGAAAGUAAUAGAGCAAUCAGUGGUGACUUAACAUCUGGGCUUGUUCAAGGAAAGUAAGACAUCCCUAAAACUUCUUUCAUUCCAAAGAAAUUGGGCAUGGCCAAAGCUGUAACCAUCUGUGGAUCACAGCAGAAGCUUAAUAGUGAUGGAGGGGAGGGAAUAGACUUCAUCACUGAGAUAGUCACUAAGCAAUAACAAAUCCCAGGUUGUGAGAAAGGAACCCACUAGACUAGAACCCACUGUUGCUACAACAUAUGAUCUAAAAUAUCCAGUCCCUAACAUACCAAGUAUGCAACUCAUACACUGAAAACACAAGCAGACAACAGAGUGACUAGAUGUCGUGUUAUAAGAAAAAGACUUGAAAAUUGCCAUUAAAAUAUGUUCCAGAACAAGCUGUGCACGGUGUACCUUGUAGUCUAGGCUACUCAGGAGACUGAGACAGGAGGGUCUCUAGAACCCCAAAGUUCAAGGUCAGCCUGGGCAACAUAGACUCACAUCUCAAAAUAAACAAAAAAAUGUUUCCAGAAUUAAAGAAAACUGAUUAAAGAAGUAGUGCAGCUGGGAAUGGUGAUGCAUGCCUGUGUGCUUGUGGCCAACCUGGACAACUUAAGAUUCUGUUUCAAAACACAAAAUAGUGGCUAGGGAUAUAGGGCUGAUCGUGCGCUGGACUACCAUAUGUGAGAUCCUGUGUUCAAUCCCCAGUACCACAAUAAAUAAAAGACAUUUAAGAGAAGAAAAUAGCAAUUCUGAAGUUGCAAAGAACAAUAACAUUCACUAGAGAGACUCAAUGGUAGACUUUAACUGGCAGAAGUAGUGGUAGACCAAGAGGACAGACUUAAGAAAAAUGAACAUUUCUUCAGAAACAACUCAGUGACAACCAACACAGGCAUCAGAAGCAUCAGAAGAAGAGAAAGGAAAACAAUACCCAAAUAGCAGCCCCAAACUCCCCAAAUUAACUGAAAAAAAAAUUACUUGCACAUCCAGAAACCUGUAUGAACCCUAAGUUGCAUACAUACAAAGACUUCAACAGAUAUAAAAACAACAAAUGGUGACAGAGACAAGAAGAAAGGUAGCAGGAGAAAAACAUCUUAUUUUCAUGGACAUAACAGCUGUUUGCACAGUGAAUGCAGCUAGAAGGUAAUGGAUAACUUUCAAAAUGCUGAAAGAAAAAAAAAAAACUGUCCAGCAGGAGGAUCAUGAGUUCAAAGACAGCCUCUUCAAAAGGGAGGCACUGAGCAACUCAGUGGGACCCUGUCUCUAAAUAAAAUACAGAAUAGGGCUGGGGAUGUGGCUCGGUGGCCAGUUGCCCCUGAGUUCAACCCCUAGUACCCUGCCCCCCACAAAAAGAAUUCUCCGUUCAGCAAAACCCUUCAGAAAUAAAGGUGAAAUACACUCAGAUAAAAA
RNAcentral lists this long non-coding RNA (1804 nucleotides) under Marmota monax (woodchuck). Lineage: Eukaryota; Metazoa; Chordata; Mammalia; Rodentia; Sciuridae. The record is from RNAcentral.